GUGCGUUUGAAUGUUGAACGUAAGGAACCUAGUAAAAACAUAAAGAGCCUUGGAAGAGGGCCUGUGCCAAGGGACCCACCAAGAGGGGCUUCCAUCCCCAUAGCCAACACCCAACAGAUGAGGGAGGUCAGAAGAAAAGAGUUCCUAAUCCUAUAACAAAGGCUGAAUCAGGAGGACUAUGUUGCUGGAAUUUCAUACCUCUCACUGUUGUGGCCUCUGCCGUUGCGAAGCACAGGCUCCGGACGCGCAGGCUCAGCGGCCAUGGCUCUCGAACCUAGCCGCUCCGCGGCACGUGGGAUCUUCCCGGACCGGGGCACGAGCCCGUGUGCCCUGCAUCGGCAAGCGGACUCUCAACCACUGCGCCACCAGGGAAGCCCCUGUGUUUCCAUUUUUUGUUGCAGGAAAGAAAGUGGGGCUGGAGAGGAUGGUCACUUCCCAGGUCUCAGAACGCGGAGUGGCCUCUCCCGUUGCGGAGCACAGGCUCCGGACGCGCAGGCUCAGCGGCCAUGGCUCACGGGCCUAGCCGCUCCGCGGCAUGUGGGAUCUUCCCGGACCUGGGCACGAACCCGUGUCCCCCGCAUCGGCAGGCGUACUCUCAACCACUGCGCCACCAGGGAAGACCUACAGGCUUGAUUUUAAGAUGAUUAAAAACUUAAUAGUGAGAUAAACACUUUAUUUUAAGAAAUACAAUACUGCUCUAUUACUGUUAGUGAUAAAUCUACUUUGUUUUUUAUUUAAACUUUCAUAGCUCUAGAAUCAAGAUAAUUAUGAUUGCAAAACUUAGCUCAUAUGACUGGUAAAAACUUAAUAUUUUUGUUUAAAACGAUGAAUGUUGGUAGAAGUAACAAAGUAUUAAAUGAAAACAAUCAGCACCGAUAUAGGGCAAGAAGUAGUGCCACUUUCAUUCUGAAGUAAAGUUCAUUCUGGCUUUUAAAAAACUGCGGGCUAUAUUGCUGUUUUCCAGAGCUGUAAAAAGUUGGGCAAGGUAGUUAUCUUUCUGUGGCUUACUUCUCCCCUCAUACAUGAAAUCUCAGCUCUCUUACUUUGAUCUUAGUGGCCUCGGACAAUUUAAAAACCGCAUUUCAACAAAUGUUUAGUGUCUAGCGUAAAACAGUAUGCUUGAUGACGAGUAGAAAUACCAAGUACAAGACACAGGACACAGGUCCCUGCCCUUCUAGAGCAAGAAAGUCGCUGAAACAGACCAGCCGUGAAUUCAACUUUUAAUCGGUACAACCUCUCCUUUGUAGGCCUGA
This is a long non-coding RNA of Globicephala melas (long-finned pilot whale), 1253 nucleotides long. RefSeq lists it as uncharacterized. The record is from RefSeq and is a predicted model, not a curated record. NCBI's taxonomy places the organism in Eukaryota, Metazoa, Chordata, Mammalia, Artiodactyla, Delphinidae.